This 482-nucleotide long non-coding RNA is filed under the name Homo sapiens (human). Its description in RNAcentral is "non-protein coding lnc-PTGER3-7:3". The record is from RNAcentral. Lineage: Eukaryota; Metazoa; Chordata; Mammalia; Primates; Hominidae.
CUUAAAAAAAGUUUAAAUUCUAUUUUGAUAUAGUAAGCAGGGUUUUAAUUACACAUGAUAGAAUUUUAAAGAGACAAAAUUAAAAUGUUUAAGUAGAAUGUUUUCAUGGUUGAUCCAGAAGUCUUCUGUUGAAUAAGCAGUAAGUAUUCUUCCUUAUAAAAUUUUCAUAGUUGUUAUAAAUCCUGUUUAUUUUUGGAGCUAUCUGAUAACUAAAUAAUCUUCCUUAUUUCUUCUUUUAAUGAAAUGUUUGAUUUGUUUCUCAAUCAAUGAAGAUCCAGCUCCAGGUCCCACAGGGGCUCUUCUUCCCCACGAAAAAGAUCUUAUUCAAGUUCAUCAUCUUCUCCUGAGAGGAACAGAAAGAGAAGUCGUUCUAGAUCUUCUUCAUCUGGUGAUCGCAAAAAAAGACGAACAAGAUCACGGUCACCCGAAAGACGCCACAGGUCAUCAUCUGGAUCAUCCCAUUCUGGUUCCCGUUCAAGUUC